Molecule: ribosomal RNA, 252 nt
Filed under: uncultured bacterium
Lineage: Bacteria
Description: partial 16S ribosomal RNA
Rfam family: Bacterial small subunit ribosomal RNA
Source: RNAcentral
UACGAAGGGGGCUAGCGUUGCUCGGAAUCACUGGGCGUAAAGGGUGCGUAGGCGGGUCUUUAAGUCAGGGGUGAAAUCCUGGAGCUCAACUCCAGAACUGCCUUUGAUACUGAAGAUCUUGAGUUCGGGAGAGUGAGUGGAACUGCGAGUGUAGAGGUGAAAUUCGUAGAUAUUCGCAAGAACACCAGUGGCGAAGGCGGCUCACUGGACUGGUAUUGACGCUGAGGUGCGAAAGCGUGGGGAGCGAACAGG